GAUGAACGCUGGCGGCGUGCCUAACACAUGCAAGUCGAACGAAGCGCUUUGAAGUUUCGGACAGAGAAGUGACUGAGUGGCGGACGGGUGAGUAACGCGUGGGUAACCUGCCUCAUACGAGGGGGAUAACAGUUAGAAAUGACUGCUAAUACCGCAUAAGCGCACAGUACCGCAUGGUACAGUGUAGAAAAACUCCGGUGGUAUGAGAUGGACCCGCGUCUGAUUAGCUAGUUGGUGAGGUAACGGCCCACCAAGGCGACGAUCAGUAGCCGGCCUGAGAGGGUGAACGGCCACAUUGGGACUGAGACACGGCCCAAACUCCUACGGGGAGGCAGCAGGUGGGGAAUAUUGCACAAUGGGGGAAACCCUGAUGCAGCGACGCCGCGUGAGUGAAGAAGUAUUUCGGUAUGUAAAGCUCUAUCAGCAGGGAAGAAAAUGACGGUACCUGACUAAGAAGCACCGGCUAAAUACGUG
This 474-nucleotide ribosomal RNA is filed under the name uncultured bacterium. RNAcentral's name for it is "bacterial SSU rRNA". It matches the Rfam family "Bacterial small subunit ribosomal RNA", at positions 28 to 507 of the family's 1533-position model. The record is from RNAcentral.